Molecule: ribosomal RNA, 445 nt
Filed under: uncultured soil bacterium
Lineage: Bacteria
Description: bacterial SSU rRNA
Rfam family: Bacterial small subunit ribosomal RNA
Source: RNAcentral
AGAACGAACGCUGGCGGCAUGCCUAAUACAUGCAAGUCGAACGAACUCUUCGGAGUUAGUGGCGCACGGGUGCGUAACGCGUGGGAAUCUGCCCCUUGGUUCGGAAUAACAGUUGGAAACGACUGCUAAUACCGGAUGAUGACGAAAGUCCAAAGAUUUAUCGCCAAGGGAUGAGCCCGCGUAGGAUUAGCUAGUUGGUGAGGUAAAGGCUCACCAAGGCAACGAUCCUUAGCUGGUCUGAGAGGAUGAUCAGCCACACUGGGACUGAGACACGGCCCAGACUCCUACGGGAGGCAGCAGUAGGGAAUAUUGGACAAUGGGCGAAAGCCUGAUCCAGCAAUGCCGCGUGAGUGAUGAAGGCCUUAGGUUGUAAAGCUCGUUUUACCGAGAUGAUAAUGACAGUAGUCGGAGAAUAAGCCCGACUAACCUCGUCGCCAGCAGCCGC